RNAcentral lists this ribosomal RNA (253 nucleotides) under uncultured bacterium. Its description in RNAcentral is "partial 16S ribosomal RNA". It matches the Rfam family "Bacterial small subunit ribosomal RNA", at positions 524 to 776 of the family's 1533-position model. The record is from RNAcentral.
UACGAAGGAUGCAAGCGUUAUCCGGAUUCAUUGGGUUUAAAGGGAGCGUAGGUGGCCUUAUAAGUCAGUGGUGAAAUCUCUGGGCUUAACUCAGAAAUUGCCAUUGAUACUGUAGGGCUUGAGUAUAGUUGCCGUUGGCGGAAUAUGUCAUGUAGCGGUGAAAUGCUUAGAUACGACAUAGAACACCGAUAGCGAAGGCAGCUUGCUACACAAUCAUUGACACUGAGGCACGAAAGCGUGGGGAUCAAACAGG